CUUACUCAUGAUGUUGGAGUUCGCCAACUCUGUUUGUUUGAUCUUACUCAUGAUGUUGGAGCUCGUCAUACAUGAAUGCAUCUACGACUCAACAGUAUUUUUCUCAGAAGUAUCAAUGGUUAUUUUUUUUGUAGUCAUAAAUAAAAUAUGUACUGAAAUUUGGGCUCCAAAUUGUAUCAAAUUAACCAUGGCUUCAACGUACUUAAAUUUGGGCUACCUGAUCUAAUUAUACUAGUCAGAUUAAUGCUGAUAGAAUCUACAUACUUAGGGGAUCGGAUUCUGCUAUUGAUGAGAUGGGGCUUCUAUUCACAAGAUGUUCCGGAUAUUGGUGGAUCUCUGACAUUUAUGAUAGGUUGAUCUUGAUCUUGGUGGAAGUCGUCUCUAUGUUUGUCCAUCAUGAUCUCUUGUUACACAUUUAAAAUUCUUUAGCGUCUAUAUGUUUCCAACAGUAAUUUCGAGCAUUAAAAUGCAGUUAUUGUUUCUUAAGCCUCGGAUGCUUUCAAUAGGUCAUUGUAGAUUUCAGGAUUGAUUCACAAUAGCAACUGAUACUAUCCCCAUGGGACCUCUCUUUGGAGAAUUUGGCUAUCAAGUUAAGUAAACAAUUGGUACUUAAUUUAGUU
Molecule: unclassified non-coding RNA, 620 nt
Filed under: Hevea brasiliensis (rubber tree)
Lineage: Eukaryota; Viridiplantae; Streptophyta; Magnoliopsida; Malpighiales; Euphorbiaceae
Source: RNAcentral